Molecule: ribosomal RNA, 509 nt
Filed under: uncultured bacterium
Lineage: Bacteria
Description: bacterial SSU rRNA
Rfam family: Bacterial small subunit ribosomal RNA
Source: RNAcentral
GAUUAUGGCUCAGGAUGAACGCUAGCGACAGGCUAACACAUGCAAGUCGAGGGGCAGCAUAAAAGUAGCAAUACUUGGUGGCGACCGGCGCACGGGUGAGUAACGCGUAUGCAACCUACCUAUCAGAGGGGAAUAACCCGGCGAAAGUCGGACUAAUACCGCAUAAAACAGGGGCACCGCAUGGUGAUAUUUGUUAAAGAAAUUCGCUGAUAGAUGGGCAUGCGUUCCAUUAGGUAGUUGGUGAGGUAACGGCUCACCAAGCCGACGAUGGAUAGGGGAACUGAGAGGUUGGUCCCCCACACCGGUACUGAGACACGGACCAGACUCCUACGGGAGGCAGCAGUGAGGAAUAUUGGUCAAUGGGCGGGAGCCUGAACCAGCCAAGUCGCGUGAAGGAAGAAGGAUCUAUGGUUCGUAAACUUCUUUUGCAGGGGAAUAAAGUGCAGGACGUGUCCUGUUUUGUAUGUACCCUGAGAAUAAGGAUCGGCUAACUCCGUGCCAGCCGCCGC